UUUUAUUAUGCUUUUUAAAGUUCUAAUGCUUAUUAUUGUAAAAAAAAAAAAAACUGCUAACUGAAUCAUAGACUGGUUACUGUGUUGGGUGAUGGGAGCUUGUACAUAUGGAUGAUUCUGUAAUUGCAGGUACAUUUGGUGUCCAAAGUCAAACAAACUAUUAAUGUUGGAAACUUGAAAAACCUAAUAAAAUUGUGGAUUUUGUCUCCACGAAGGUCGUGUGACCUGCUAUGGCAGUUUUUCACACAACAGCAGUUUCCAGGCAUCGCGAAAACAAAAUCAACAGAACUCGACAGCAACAAACAACCAACCAUAGACUGUAAACAAACAACGGAAUCCUGCUAAGAUGGCGGCAGCGUAUAAGUUACGUCACAUUCUCAUUCUCUAUCAAAUCAAAGCGCGGGAGAACAGAUUUCAAAUGCGAAACGGACGGAGACUAAAGGGUAACGGCGAAGUGUUUCUAGAGAGAGUAUGACGACAGUUGACAGAUGUUGAUCCUUCACUUAGCUACGAACACAACGGAUUCACCUCAGAGAAAAGAAGUAGUGAUUUCAUUUCGCGUAUAUUUCACUAUUCAUCUUCCGUUAUAACUGAUGUGUUUUUCUGGACAAGUCCGAGUGAACUGCGAGUCACAUGAACGCACGCCGUCCAGACCAACGAACGGCAGAGCCCAUCAGAGGAACAUUUCCUUGGUUUGCUCACAUCAGGUCAGAGGAUGGAAUCUCCUGGAUCAAGGUUAAUAAUAAAAGGCAAGUCAUUAUUAAAUGUACAAAAUAUAUGUCUUAAAGCAUCUUAAUGUUAAUACAAUCUUUUAUUUUGUAAAGGAAAAUAAGAGGCAUUUUAAGCUAUUUAUUUAAGCUGCAGCAGUAAAUGGUAAAAGAGUUAUAGUCUCAUCUCCCGUCCUCAAGCCAUUUCUCUCUAAUUAAAACACCUGGUUCGUUCAGCUGUAACAUUCUGGGAGGGGGGCCUGAGGACUGGAGCUGAGAAACUACACUAACGGUUAUGAAAAAUGAACGCUGUGUAUCAUAGAAGUUGAUAUAUUGUGUUUUUUUUUUGUUUUUUUUUC
Long non-coding RNA from Onychostoma macrolepis, 1066 nucleotides. RefSeq lists it as uncharacterized. Lineage: Eukaryota; Metazoa; Chordata; Actinopteri; Cypriniformes; Cyprinidae. The record is from RefSeq and is a predicted model, not a curated record. The transcript has 4 exons.